Molecule: ribosomal RNA, 846 nt
Filed under: uncultured bacterium
Lineage: Bacteria
Description: bacterial SSU rRNA
Rfam family: Bacterial small subunit ribosomal RNA
Source: RNAcentral
AGAGUUUGAUCCUGGCUCAGGACGAACGCUGGCGGCGUGCCUAAUACAUGCAAGUCGAGCGAGCUUGCCUAGAUGAUUUUAGUGCUUGCACUAAAUGAAACUAGAUACAAGCGAGCGGCGGACGGGUGAGUAACACGUGGGUAACCUGCCCAAGAGACUGGGAUAACACCUGGAAACAGAUGCUAAUACCGGAUAACAAAACUAGACGCAUGUCUAGAGUUUGAAAGAUGGUUCUGCUAUCACUCUUGGAUGGACCUGCGGUGCAUUAGCUAGUUGGUAAGGUAACGGCUUACCAAGGCAAUGAUGCAUAGCCGAGUUGAGAGACUGAUCGGCCACAUUGGGACUGAGACACGGCCCAAACUCCUACGGGAGGCAGCAGUAGGGAAUCUUCCACAAUGGACGAAAGUCUGAUGGAGCAACGCCGCGUGAGUGAAGAAGGGUUUCGGCUCGUAAAGCUCUGUUGGUAGUGAAGAAAGAUAGAGGUAGUAACUGGCCUUUAUUUGACGGUAAUUACUUAGAAAGUCACGGCUAACUACGUGCCAGCAGCCGCGGUAAUACGUAGGUGGCAAGCGUUGUCCGGAUUUAUUGGGCGUAAAGCGAGUGCAGGCGGUUCAAUAAGUCUGAUGUGAAAGCCUUCGGCUCAACCGGAGAAUUGCAUCAGAAACUGUUGAACUUGAGUGCAGAAGAGGAGAGUGGAACUCCAUGUGUAGCGGUGGAAUGCGUAGAUAUAUGGAAGAACACCAGUGGCGAAGGCGGCUCUCUGGUCUGCAACUGACGCUGAGGCUCGAAAGCAUGGGUAGCGAACAGGAUUAGAUACCCUGGUAGUCCAUGCCGUAAACGAUGAGU